GUCAAUUGAUCGUUAGAAGGGAUUAAAAUUGAUUGUGUUAUGUUCUGUAAUUGUUGUUAAUAAAUCUUUCAGAAGAAAGUGUGUAAAAGUUUGACUACAGUAACCAUAUCUAACCAAGCUUCAUGUACCAAGAUAAUUAUUUCAAUUAUUUCUCAUCAGAUCAACUGUUCAUUUAUGCAGUUUAUGCUUUAUUUAUAGGUAGCAUAACUGUUACCUUUUUGUUUACAGUUCUGCAUAUAUAAUAUGACAAACCUAGGAGACUUUGCUGUAAGAGAAUUAAUCAUGUUUUUGUUUUCUUUUCUCAGGUCCGGUCAGGACCCACCACCCUUCCCUGUUCACCCACAGUUUAUACUUAUUCUUAGAAAACCAACGGCUCUUUUAAGAGCCACUUCAAUAGACCCUUUUACAGCCCACGUGAUCAAAUAGCCUGCGUGCGCAUUUUGGCAACGGAAGUGAUGUUAUUUCCCAGUGGUUCUAACGUGUAAGCAACUCAGAAAGUUUAUUAAAACGAUUUCCCCACAUCAAAACGUCUGGUUGUAGCAUUUGGUUGCACUAAUAUAAUAUAUGUUUAGUAUUUGGCCAUCUUCUAACGUCUUCUAUCCACUCCACUAUAGUACACGGAUUUGGUAACUGUGUAGAAGAUAAGUCAACUUUUUAAACUAACUUUCUCUGUCUGUGUUGCUUCACUGCUGAUUCUUGCCGUGCUUCCGUUGCCAAACUGCGUGCGCAUACGUUGCCACGUCAUCAUUGUGUACAAACAGUAAAAGGGUCACUCACUCACUCACUCUUUCGCAAGCUUCUCUGUUUUCAAUAUUGUUGAAAUGGCUGCUGAGCAAGACAGAGGGAGAGCAAAGGGUGUUAUUUUCAUAGCAGACAUGCUUCUUGCUCAAAUCAAGGCAGAGGAACCCAAGGGCAAAGCAACAGCCAUUAAAGGGAGUACAUUUAAUGUCAGAUAGGUGGAGAAAAUGCUGAAGGAGGUCCACUACUAAAAAGAAGCAGAAGUGAAGAGAUACAAAGCUUCAGCUACAUUCUGUUUAUUGCCUACAGUGAGACCUCCACAUUUCUGCACUUGUGAUCAUGCAAACAUCCAGUGUAGAGCACUUCACCUGCCCGGCAUGUACACCCAACAAUGCUCGCUCUUUGUGCAGAUGGCAACAGAAAAACCUACAGAUUCCGUCAGUCAAAAGAAAGGAGCUUCAAGCAGCCACAAACGGAGAGUUCUUUUGAACAGAUAUUGCUUGCAAGUAUUGGCCAUACCUUGAGAAGGCCUCAGUCUCCAUGUUGGAACUCAGACCUUUACUGCAGAUGAGACCUUUCCUUUCUGUCAUGCAUGCCAAGGCUCAUUCAACCAAGUGUCAGGUGUCACACAUUUGUUAGAUAAUCUGGCAAAAAUCAGGAAGGUGCUGGUACAACUGCAGUUGAGGAGGUCGAAAUGGUCAACAGCUACCUGUCUCGUUGUGGCCUCACAACCAAUACUUUGGGAUUGCAUAAGAGUAAGCUGUAACUGUUCAAAGUACAUAAAAAAUUGGCAUGUAGUUCUCUCUUAAAUUUUAAACUCAAUUGUCAGUUUCUGGAUUAAUUGAAAUACCACAAGCAUUAAUGGGACCUUUCUUCCUUCAUCACAUACAUGUCUUGUUAAUAGCCAGGAAUGACAUGGUAACUGUCCAUGCUAUUGGGUGGAACCAACGGAAGCAAGAAGGCCUUCAGCAUUAUCCAGCAGAUACAUCAAGAAAGGCUGAGUCUCAGAGACGGGAAGAUUUGAGCAGUGAACUGGGGUGUCCUGAGAACAUUGUGAAUCAGUGGGUACAAGAUGUCAGACAAAAGGCUACUGAUGGAUUUGGUAGGUACCAGAUGUGAUGACCUACACAACCUUCAGAAAUGAAUUGAACAAAUGUUUCUUAGUCUUCAUCGAAAAGCCAGCCUUUAUAAUCACACUGAAUCCAGCAACACCCUCACCAAGAAGAUUUCAAAAGUGCGCCUUCAAGAAGCAAAGAUCAUUGUGAUGAGGGAGAUGAGACACCACUGCACCGCACCUAUCUCAGAAGCCUGGCUAGGAACAUCAGGAAAAUGAUAUCAGAAAUGUCUUCAGGCAAAAACAGUGGCAGUUUAAGUGAAGAGUGUCAUCGCUGGCUACUGUGUCGUCUUCAGAAAAGGCUUGCAGAUGUAGAGAAGUUCCAAGUUUGCUCAAGUUACAGCCAGGCUUUAGGACAGUGUUCUUCACUCCCAACCCCGGAGAGCCGGUGUCCUGCAGACUUUAGCUCCAACCUUAAUCAAACACAUCUGAAAGCUAAUCAAUGUCUUCAUGAUCUCUAGAAAAUCACAGGUACGUGUGUUUGAUUAAGGUUGGAGCUAAGCUCCGCAGGACACCGGCUCUCCAGGAUUGGGAGUGAAGAACACUGCUUUAGGACCAAAUGCUGUUUCUCUGCUGGAGGAUGAGCCUGAGGAGAUACUGGAGGACCACAAAGAGCUGGAUUAUGAGAGUUCAGAUGACAUUUUGGAUUUGGAACUCUGAACUGGUGUAUGCAUUUAGACUGUGUGUCACACUGAACUGCAGGUGUGUUUCAUGGAAAACAUAAAACUAUUUGGAAAUGUAAUGGAUGUCUGAUACAGUGCUUUUAUUUUAGACAACCGUUUCCUGCAGUCUGUAAGCAACAUUAGCCUCAUAGAUUGAUGGGAAACUACUGUUAAAUAAGUUUUUGUAUGAUAAUCCAUAUCUCCGUUUACAAGCAGCAGGUUAGCUAUUAGGUUUCCCCUCCACCUCCGAUGUUUCACAGACUACUCCUACAGUCAACUGUGUUGCUACAACUUGCAAAUGCCACAAUCCUCUUGCAGUGGUUACUUCACCAAACUGUGCCCAUAUCAUCUUGUCAACAUAAUGACAUUUACUGUAGAAAAAUGUGCAAAUCUAUUUUGCCUGUGUUACAUAUGUUACUAUUAUUGUUAUAUAGUUUUAUACUGUAUCAAGUUUUUUUCACAGUGAUUGUGGAUACUUUUGGAGUGAACUAACUGUAUGUCAUUAGAUGAAAUACUUUACAUAAAUGACUGAUCAAUAACCUACCCAUAUUUGAUGCAUGAGUUAAUACUGUUGUUACCUUUUCAAUGAAAGGAAAUGUUUUACAAUGCCAUUUUCUUGAGGUAAUUAUUAAACUGUUUCAUAUAUGUACCUGCAAAA
This is a non-coding RNA of Misgurnus anguillicaudatus (oriental weatherfish), 3172 nucleotides long. The record is from RefSeq and is a predicted model, not a curated record. Lineage: Eukaryota; Metazoa; Chordata; Actinopteri; Cypriniformes; Cobitidae.